Monodelphis domestica (gray short-tailed opossum) is the source of this 2213-nucleotide long non-coding RNA. The record is from Ensembl. Lineage: Eukaryota; Metazoa; Chordata; Mammalia; Didelphimorphia; Didelphidae.
CACAAAUUCUAUAAACUCAAAAUCUAAAAUCGUGUACUUUGUAUUUAUGCAAAUAGAAUUUAUCAUAUUUUAGGUUUUUCUCAAUAGAAAAGUCAACAGCAAUAGAUUACUUUUUAGUAAAAGUUGAGGGUUUGCAAAACCUAUAUAUUCCACAUAUCCCAAAAGACAGUAUAGUUUUAAGUUUCAAUGGCUUCAAAUACACUGUCAUUCCCUAUUUCUGUACCAUAUUUUUUCUGUCUAUUUAUCUAUCUAUCUAUCUAUCUAUCUAUCUAUCUAUCUAUCUAUCUAUCUAUUUAUCUUCUGUUUAUCCUUUACUGUUUUAGAUUCAUUAUACUUUUUCAUAGCUGGCAUUGAUAUAGCACUUUACCUAUUUUAUCUCAUAUGAUUCUCAUAACAAUUGUAUGAUACAGGUGCCCUUAUUGUUUCCCCUUCUUUUAGAGAUAAACUAACCAAGUCGUAAAGAACUUCUAGUUAUUUUCCUUGUCAUACAUCUAGCAAAUGCACCGUUUUAGAAAGAGAAGCUCUUUCUCACUCCAAGUCCAAUAUUCUAAGUCCAGGCACAUUUCUAUUGUGACUGCUUUUAGAAUCCACUACUAGAAACUAUUGGAGUAUGAAGUGAAGAAAUGAUGUAAAAGGAAAUAAAUUCAAUGAGGAACAUGUCCUUGAGGAUCUAGAAUCCUGCCAGAAAAGAAAAAAACAAAUUCGAAAUAACUUGAAAGGAAGUCUAGUAUACUGGAAAAUGAAUGGGACUUGAAAUCAGAGAAUCUGAAUUCAUACCCCAGUUUUUGCUGUGUGAACUUGUGAAAGACUUAGAAACUUUCUAAUCUUCUAUUCAUCUAUAAAGGAAGACAAUGGAAUUUUACAGGUCAGAGAAUUAAGAAACAAAACAAAAUUUCCUGACAAUUGAAACUAUACAACAUGAUGAUUGAAUGGAUUCCUUUUCACUAAUAGUCUUCAAACAAAGGUUGGCUGCUGGAUCAAAAUUUUUUGGAACAUUUUUGGAAGGUAUGUCAAUAAGAAAAAAGAACAAAAAGGUCCCAGCUGUGAGGAUGAGUGAUAGAGAUGGAAGGACUGGCAAUGAUUCACUUUGUUUUGAAACUGAAAAGAGAAGAAAAGUCAGAAAAGGUGGAGAGACUUAUAAUUUUCCCAGUAGGAUUUCACAAAUAGUUCUGAUUAAGCCCACUAUUUGCAUUGUGAUAAUUAAUGUUGUGUCAGUGGUCUGCUAUUUACUAAUGGUUCAUACCUAAGAAAUUAGGAAUUUUGAAAAUGAUGUAAAGAUAUUUUUAUGCAGUCCACAGAAGGUAGGAGUUCUGAGACCAGUGGGUCAAGCAACCAAAGCAAACAAGCAGUUUUGUAGUUGGAGUGGUUAGAGAGAGUAACAAAUUAAAAUAGAUUUCUAUUUAUGCAAAUGUAGAGGGCAACGAGGACCAUAGUUAUUCCUGUGACUUAAAGAGUUUGCACUAUAUUUCUGAUUCUGCCAUAGACAAUCAACAAAGAUGUGUACACAGACUGAUUUGUCUGCCAGAUGAGAGAGUCAGAGGUAGGAGGAAUUCCUAGUCAGUCUUUAUAUCAUCAGGGAAGAUGAAGUAUUCCUUUUAAUGAUGGAGGGAAAGACCCAAAAGAACAAGAAAGAAGAAAAAAUACUCUUGAAGUCAGAGAAGAGAAUCCCAAAUAAGUACAAUAGGGUAGAAUAUUGUAGGAUGGAGGGGAAAAUUUGACUUUGGGACAGUUUAAGAUAUGUCAUAGGUAUAAUGGUCCCCCACCCACCUCAAGAAUGGAUUCAGACCAUCUGAGACAGAAAUAGGUUCUCAUGUACUCCAUGGGAAUGUAAUAGGGAUACACGGAUGCCAAGAGUGAAGACAUCUGUUUUUGGUUCCAGGAAGAAGAGACAUACUGUGAUGAAAGAAUACAGCCUUGUGAGAGCUACUGAUAAAUUGAUGUUAUCUGAAUGUUCAGGAGCCAUGCUACCUUCCCAGGACAUUAAUACCAGACAUGACAGAGGCCCUUUCAAAACCUAGCAAAUCUGAAGACUUGUAUCCAUGAUCUUAUUGAUUGAUAAGGGAGUACAUGACACUGGAAGGAUAUGAGAGGACAUAAUUAUAUAGCCUUAAGGACAGGUACUAUUUUCCCUUGAUUUUCCUUGGAAUUUAGUAUGGCUUCUUGAACAUUACACGUUCUUAAUAAAUGUUUGUUGAUCUCAGCCCUCUGAGCCA